AGAAUUUGCAUUAGCAUAUCAAUCACCUCCAAUAACACUCUUGGCCACAGCUUACUUCCACCUUCAGCAUUGCAGCCUAGGUCAUGCUGUGACCUGCACAAUUGUUAAAAGGAUAGCAAGUAGGUGAGAUAAAAGAGACCAGAGUUUAGGAACACCAAAUGCAGGCACAGGACAGAAAGAGAAGCUGGUGAUCAUCAGACAUGAUCAGAUAAAUACAAAUAGCAAGCUCUGCGGGUACAGAAUCCAUUGAAGGGUAUCAUGAAGAUUGAACAAAUGCACUGCUGUGAUGAGAAUGCAUACUGGUGCUGCAGGUGGGAGCACAGUGCUCAGAUAAGGAACGAACUGUGGUGGCCUCAGUCCUACGAUGAGUUCUCGAAGCUUAUCACUGAAGAAAUAGAGAACAGCUUAUCAUUUUCUCUGUACAUUAUUCCUCAAAGAUAAAUAACAGUAAACAAAUUAGGAAAGUCAUUUUAAUUUUGGAAUGAUAUUUGAAAGGUGCCCCUCAACAUUUUGAGAUAAUAAGCAGGGUGCUUUUCUUUGAUCCAGACUGUACUCACAGAACAGGAAAUGAGGAAUUAUUUGGUCAGAAAUUAGAUGGUGUUGUUUUCUGUCUUUAACCAUUCUGUUACCACAGUCAAAUGUUACACUCAAACCUGGUGUAGUAAAAUUAAACUUCAGUAGAUGCUUUUGAAAAUCCAAAUAUACAACUGGCUCCUUAUUUCCUGCCAAUUCCAUCCUUCUAGAACACAAAUCAAAUUGCUAACCAAAACUACCUAAUCAUGUUAUGCUUUUCAAGGUCCCCUUUUAUAAUUUUCUUAAUUAGGUAUUUGGGACUUGCCUGUAGACUGAUGUUUGGAUACUAGUCUUUAAUCCUGUGCUUCUUUAAUUUUCCCUUUCUUCAAUAGCAAUGUUACAUUUGCUGUUUUCCAAGAAUCUAGGAAAUUAUGGAACAUAGCACCAAAUGCAUGCACAGCCAGACAAGCAAGCAGAUGAACUCCAAACUUAGAUUAAUACAUGACACAAGGAUAUUUAAACCUAUUACCAAAACUGGG
Molecule: long non-coding RNA, 1052 nt
Organism: Hypanus sabinus (Atlantic stingray)
Lineage: Eukaryota; Metazoa; Chordata; Chondrichthyes; Myliobatiformes; Dasyatidae
Exons: 3
Source: RefSeq, a predicted model, not a curated record